This 5396-nucleotide long non-coding RNA is filed under the name Nicotiana tabacum (common tobacco). Its description in RNAcentral is "long non-coding RNA (NTAB_LNC018914)". The record is from RNAcentral. Lineage: Eukaryota; Viridiplantae; Streptophyta; Magnoliopsida; Solanales; Solanaceae.
CGAGAGCAGCAGCCAAGUCCCCAUGAUCUCCAUCAUAUAUUUCACAAAAUCACCAAGCAAAAAAGGAGAGCAGCUAACCGAGAAUUUUUAAGUCCUUAACGAGAGAAAACGAGGUGAAAAUUGAGAUAACGACGACAUGUAAAUUGACAACACAUAAAAACCCCAAUGGUUGCAGCCUCUACAUUCUUGAUUUAAUUCAUCUUCCUAAAUUUCUCCUUAAACUAAAAACUUCACCCAUUAACCCAACCACAUCAUCUCGUUCUUCUUUGAAAAUUCAAUGAUUUAGAUGACAAGACAAGAGCUCAGGCCACAAUUUGGAGUUCGAAUGUAGUUUGUUGUCUGCGGUCCAGUUUCGGGUUUUUGGUUUGCUAAUUCGGAAUUCGAUUCGAAGUGCUUCCCAUCGUUGGUUCAAUUCGCGGUUCCGAGUUCGAAAUUGCUGGUCCUGUUUGCGAUCUGGUUUUCAGUUUGAGUAUUCAACAUUCACUGUUGUACUAGCUAUUUUGCUCGUGAAUUUCAAGAAGAUCCAGUGAGUUGAUCUUAAUUCCUUUUAGCAAUUUUUGUUUUGUUUUGUUAAAGAGAUACUCUAAGCAUAUUUGUUUUGUUUCACUGCCUUCUCAUGAACCUUCUAUUAAAUUUUUUAUUUUGUAUAAUUUCUAUUGAAGUAUUCAUUAAAGAUUGUUCUUAUUCGGUUGGUAGUUGUGUCUAAGUAUAUUAUGAGCAAUACAUUUCUACAAAAAGUGUUUGGUUGCAGAUACACAAGAUUAUUUUUUUGGGAUUUAAGUUCAUGAGACGUUGAUCGAUAGUUCCAGUUAUUGUAAAAAUUUGGCUAAGAUUUUGAGUAGUGCAUUUGUCAUUUCAUUAAAUCUAAUGAUGAUGGCAGAUAUUCUACCAAAAGGUCCAUUGAUAUAUUUUUUUCCAGUUUUCUUCAAUAUAGUUUAAUUAUCACUAAUAUUUUUCUUCUUGUUUAAUUUUAUUUGUAGUCAUGUGUAGAAAUUUAAUUUUUAUUGUUAUGCAUUUUUGUUUAAAUUUUUGACAUAAUUUGAGUUUUAACUUUGAUUAGGUGACUUAGAAAUUCUUAGUAUUACUCAUAAAAUUGUUCUGUACUAAUUCCAUAAACUAUUCCCUUUACAACGGAUCUCAAGCGAAUGUAGAAAUUAAUUAACCGUGAACAUCGCAGCUUGAUUUUGGCAUGAUUAAUAAAUAAAUAUCGUGACUAUAGGUACGGCUCCCGUGAUAUGGUCAUGAUACAUAAACUUGGGUGUGCAUUUAUGUGACCCAAAUCCAAGUCUCAACAACGUUAGAUAAAAUGUGUUGUAGACCGCGAGUGCAUUUAUGUGACGUGGUUCAAGAUGUAUUUUAGAUGACGUUGAAUCUUUCCUAAUAAAAAAAAAUAAUUCAAUAAAAGCGGCUCAAAAGUUCAAAAUUGCACCAUAAGUUAAAACAUGUACUAAAAUCAGAUAUUAGGCUAAUUAUGACAGUUGAACGACCGUGCUAAAACCACGGAACUCGGGAAUGCCUAAAACCUUCCCUCGGGUUAACAUAAUUCCUUACCCGAACUUCUGUGUUCGUGGACUGUAAAACAGAGUCAAUAUUUCCUCUAUUCGAGAUUUAAAACCGGUGAAUUGGGGCACCAUAAAUUAUCCCAAGUGGCGACUCUGAAUUUUAAAUAAAUUAAUCCCGUUUCAAUUGUCACUUAAAUUGGAAAAACUCCCUUAUACCUCUUCCGUGAUGUAGGUAAAAAGGAGGUGUGACAGCCUGUCGUAUUUACAGCCAAUAAAGAGGGGAAUAGCCUAUAAGGUUCAUCAGCUAGCUAAUCUUGGAGUUCGGUUACUGGAUUCAGGUGAUAUUGGAAUUACUUUUCAAGAUACGACAACAUCCUCUUUAGUAACUGAAGUAAAUGAACGCCAGUAUGUGGAUCCUGUGUUAGUUCAUUAUAGGGAUACCACCCUUCAGAAGGAGAAGAAACCGUUUGAAAUUACAGAAGAUGGGGUCUUCAUAUAUCAAGGACGAUUAUGUGUCCCUAAUGUUGCAGGGCUACAUCAGCAGGUUAUGGGAGAAACUCACUAUUCUCGUUAUUCUGUCCAUCCAGGAGCGACAAAGAUGUAUCAUGCUAUUAGGGAAGUGUAUUGGUGGGACAGAAUGAAAAAGGAUAUAGUGGAGUUUGUUGCUCAGUCUCCUAACUGUCAGCAAGUUAAGAUUGAGCAUCAAAAACCCGGUGGGUUAUUACGGGCUAUGGAGAUUCCAACUUGGAAAUGGAAAGUANNNNNNNNNNNNNNNNNNNNNNNNNNNNNNNNNNNNNNNNNNNNNNNNNNNNNNNNNNNNNNNNNNNNNNNNNNNNNNNNNNNNNNNNNNNNNNNNNNNNNNNNNNNNNNNNNNNNNNNNNNNNNNNNNNNNNNNNNNNNNNNNNNNNNNNNNNNNNNNNNNNNNNNNNNNNNNNNNNNNNNNNUGUUGAUAGGCUUAUAAAGUCAUCCCAAGAACUACAUAUUCCUCAGAGGAUUAUGCAAGGCUUUAUAUUACGGAAAUAGUACGACUGUAUGGUGUCCCUGUAUAUAUUAUCUCGAAUAGAGGAGCUCAAUUUACAGCUAACUUCUGGAUGUCCUUCCAAAAAGGAUUGGGGACUCAAGUAAGUCUUACUACAACAUUUCAUCCCCAUACAGACGGCCCGGCUGAGCAUACUAUUCAGACACUGGAGGAUAUGUUACGAGCUUGUGUAAUAGACUUCAAAGGUAGCUGGGAUGAUCAUCUGCCGCUUAUUGAGUUUACAUAUAAUAAUAGUUACCAUUCCAGUAUUCAGAUGGCUCCAUACGAAGCUCUUUACUGACGGAAGUGUUGAUCGCCUAUAGGUUGGUUUGAUGUUGGAGAAUCUGGAUUACAUGGGCCAGACCUAGUUCAGGAAGCCACAGAAAUAGUAAAGCUUAUCCGGGAUCGACUAUUGACAGCUCAGAGUCGUCGGAAGUCAUAUUCUAACAUGCGGCGACGAGAUUUAGAGAUCAGGGUUGAUGACUAGGUAUUCUUAAAGGUGUCACUUAUAAAGGGUGUGAUAAGGUUUGGCAAGAAAGGUAAACUUAGCCCAUGGUAUAUUGGGCCUUAUAGGAUCAUUCGGAGAGUGGACCAAGUAGCUUAUGAGUUAGAAUUACCCUCGGAAUUGUAGCCUGUCCAUCCGGUUUUUCACGUAUCUAUGUUACGGAAGUGCAUUGGCAAUCCUACUCGAGUGGUGCCCACAGAUGAUGUACAGAUUAUAGAAGACUUGUCAUACGAGGAAAUUCCGGUUGCCAUCCUAGACCGAUAAAUCUGCAAGCUACGAAAUAAGGAGGUAGCCUCCGUAAAAGUACUUUGGAGAAACAACAAUGUGGAAGAAAUGACUUGGGAGGCCGAAGAAGACAUGAAGUCUAGAUAUCAUUGCUUAUUUCCUCCUCCAGAGAAGGGUCUGACUGGGACAUCAUAACUAUAAGGUACGUGUAUAAAUUCUUGUGUUGGUUGUUGUCGUUGGUCGUGUGAUGCCAUUAUCAUUAUCAUUCUACAGGAAGAGUAGGUAGUAUCAUUGUUACAAAGGUGACCCUGCCAAAGUUAUAUAGACCUCGGGGAGUUAAACAUUCGAGGACGAAUGUUUCUAAGAGGGGGGAUGUUACACCUCGCGUUUUCGUACGUUAAAAGUUUCGUCUUCAAUUAAAUAAUGUAGACUCGGGGAUGAGAUCAUCUUGACGUUAACGUAUUUACACUAUUUAUAACAAGUGAUACAUAAGUGCCAUGAAGGAUAAUGGGUACACGAAUUAAAGAAAACGAGUUUCGUUGAAAGUGACCAAUUUGGGAUAAAAUACGGGUCAAGCGAUAAUACCGGAUGAUUAUGAAAUAGUACCAUGCAAGGUACCAUAUGAACACGGUAGUAUAAUAUAUAAAGUAUAUAAAAAGUAUAUUAAAAAUAAGUAGAAUUUUAAGAAAUUUGUGGCAAUUUUUAAACUACACGGGUAAUUGAUUAAUUAUCGGGUAACCAAACAUUACCCAGUUAACUAAUAAGUGGAUAAAAAUUUAUAAAAUACACCCCCAAAACAUAGCAUAAAGCCACAAUGACUAAGGAUGACUCUUAGUCAUUUAUGCCAUGUGGCUACUUAUGGAUUUAACUAAACUAAGACUUGAAUAUAAGUCUUAUCUUAGAAUGUCCAUUAGGAUAAAAAAUAAGACUUGAUUAUAAGUCUUAUCCAUGAGUCAUUGUUAUAUCAAUACCUUGUUAGUUCAAAAACGUUCUGCCUUAGUUCAAAAACGUUAGAGCAGAAGCAAUUCUUUCAUAGAUCAAAAACGUUCAUUCUCAGUUCAAAUACGUUAGGAGCAGGAGCAAAAUUCGUUUCACAAAAGCUUCCAACGAGAAUUUGUUGGACUAAUAGCAACAUAAAAUUUUGCGGUUCUAAAGGAGUAUGGUGCAAUCUUUGCCAAGGAUAUUAUACAGAGUUUUCCCUACUCCAGGUAUGUUAAGGUCAUCCCUUUUUUUUUGCAUGGUCCAAAUUAUAUAGAAGAAACGAGCAAAUGCACAGUUUCCAUAAAUUACUCUAUCCAUAGAAAUAUUAGGGGUGUCUAUAUUCUUGAUUACUCAUGUGAGUUAUUAUUAUCUUCUGUUCACGGGUCUCAGAAUAAUACGCAACUGAAAAAUUUUAUCCGGAAGGAAUAUUGAGAUUUUUACGUAUUUUUCAUGCAUUUCACCCAUUUAUACAUAUGCAUUGACCCAUGACCAGAUGACAUUAUAUAUGCGUAUAUAUGUAUAUUAUAUGUAUAUGUUAUAUGAGAAAAGGUACAGCGUUAUAUACGCACCACCACCUAAUUAGGUGGUAUAUAUUGAUGGUGUUGCCCAUAGCGGCCGAGAUGAUAUGAUGGGAUGCCCUCAGUGGCGUGAUGAUGUUAUGUACACCUAUACCCAUGCAUGAUACGACAUUUAUAUACACUGCAUAACACUAUAAAUGUUUCAGAAUUUACAAAAGUAUUCAUAUUUAUAGAUGGAUUUCUUUAUUCCCUGUUUCAUCUAUUUCACUGGGCUUGCAUCUCAUGCCCGCAGGUGCAGGUAGGCAAGCUAACGGUCCCCCUUAUUAGGAUCCAUGAUCAGCGAGAGUUGGCGUGCUCCACUUGAUCUGGAGCUGCUUUUGAUUUUGGUACGAUAUGUUUAUAUAUAUAUAUAUAUAUGAUGUGGCUCGGUCCCGUCUUUAUACAGUUAUAUUUCUAUUAGAGGUUUGUAGACAGUAUGCCUAGUGGGAUAGUAUGUGGCCUUGACAGGUUCCAGUUUUGAGAUGUAUAGUUGUCUAUAGCAGCCUUGUCGGUUCGCCCUAUGUAUGUUGCACGUAUAUGUAUGUAUGCCCUUUUGGGCAGAUUUCCUUCAGGUACAUUAUUCUCGUAAUUCAGCAGAUGUUAUUCAA